CCAAGUUCAGAUGCCCAGAGUGGAUUCCCACAGCUGCUAGAAGCAGGCCGUACCUGUCCACCCCAGGGAGGGAGGAGUAAACGGGUUCUAACACUUCUACGGAGGCACCCUCACCUGGAGAGACCUGCAUAUAUUGGUUCAGACUGGAUUCUCCAGAGACCAACGGACGAAGAAAGGACUUUUGGAUGAACAGCCUGAGUUUAAACUGACACCGGGCCUUCUUUUUGAUGCAGCAAAUGGACAGAUCCUUCUGUCCAAGACGGACCCCCAUCCUGACACCUGCCGGAGCUUAAGGCUGGAGUAGGGGGUGAUCUCUGCGCUGAAUUCAGAAUCAGGCCUCAUAAGACUACCGGUCCACAGUCCCGGCUCCAUAGCAAAGUCUGCAAGAUCCACAUCGUGCUUCCCCGAGGCCCUGGGGUCAGAGAUGAUACCGUUUUCCUACAAGCUCUCAAAACACUUCACAACCACUUCUUGUAUUGAAUGAAGCUUUGACAACGUGCUUGGGCCGUACAAGGCCCAAAGCUGAGCUGGUCCCUGCCCCAAGGAACGUGCUAUCCAAGAGACAACCCCCGAGGAGACAGGACAUGCUGGGAGAUCCAGGGAGGGUGUUCGCUUUGCGGUUUUCUCUCCUUAGGUGUGCUGAUGUCUUUUGGGCAGUCUCAGAAGAAGUGAGGUUUAUGAGGUCGCUGAAUGAGGGGAAGGUGAGACCUGGUACCUGGCUUUGAAGGUUAAUCGCAUCUGAAGGGGUCGGGCAACACUUAAGCUAUGUCUACACCGCAGAGCUGUGCCGGAUACACCCCAGUGUAGACAAGGUGUGCACCGACAGAAGGAAUUUUUCUGUUGAUAUAGGAACACUGCCUCCCUGAACAACAAUUGCGAUGCCAAAUCGGCAGCCCUGCGGCUGCACUGGGCACUUUCUCAGCAUAGCUAUGGUGGCUGGGGGCGGGGGUGGUUUUUUCACA
Long non-coding RNA from Malaclemys terrapin pileata, 962 nucleotides. RefSeq lists it as uncharacterized. The transcript is spliced from 4 exons. The record is from RefSeq and is a predicted model, not a curated record. NCBI's taxonomy places the organism in Eukaryota, Metazoa, Chordata, Testudines, Emydidae.